This 926-nucleotide ribosomal RNA is filed under the name Lycosa praegrandis. Its description in RNAcentral is "partial 28S large subunit ribosomal RNA". It matches the Rfam family "Eukaryotic large subunit ribosomal RNA", at positions 100 to 793 of the family's 3401-position model. The record is from RNAcentral. Lineage: Eukaryota; Metazoa; Arthropoda; Arachnida; Araneae; Lycosidae.
GGGAAGAGCCCAGCGCCGAAUCCCCGAUCUUAUAGGUCGCGGGAAAUGUGGCGUUUAGGAGUGGGCGUGCCGAGGUCGGAACCCGCAGCAAGUCCCCCUGACCGGGGCCUUCCCAGAGCGGGUGCGAGGCCCAUAGCCGCGGGGUCCGUCUCGGAURCGAUCUCCUGGGAGUCGGGUUGCUUGGGAGUGCAGCCUUAAGCGGGUGGUAAACUCCACCUAAGGCUAAAUACUGCCGUGAGACCGAUAGCAAACAAGUACCGUGAGGGAAAGUUGCAAAGAACUUUGAAGAGAGAGUUCAAGAGUACGUGAAACUGCUCAGAGGUAAACGGGUGGGCACUCGAAAUCCYGUGSMGGGAGGAUUCAGUCUGUAGUUGCCGUCGCGCUGGUCGGAUAUCRAAAGGGCUUCCUGCGAACAGGGGCCGUCCGAUCGCGAGCUUCGGUGGGGACAGACGCAUUUGUCUCCCGGUCUGAGGACGCCGUUGCCCGCGGGGAAAUGCAAACGUGACGGCCUUGAAGGCGGGAAAUGGCAGGUGGCCGGUAGCGAACCUCGUGCUCUCUGCCGGUUGUUAGCCGUCCCGUCGGUGACUCGUCUCCCCGCGGAGGUAUCCUCCCGGAAAAAGUCUGGACGUGCAGCGRAGAGCGAAGACAAUCGCGCGGCCGCACUCCGCAGGAGUGGGCCGCCGUAAGGUCUGCGCCGACUGACGCUGAGGACCAGUCGGAGGUUAGCGGCGAGUUGGUCGGUCACCCACCCGACCCGUCUUGAAACACGGACCAAGGAGUCUAACAUGUGCGCGAGUCAGUGGGUCUCGAACAAGCCCAGAGGCGCAAUGAAAGUAAAGGUCGGUACCCGCCGACCCAGUCGGGAUCCCGGCAUUCUUSGUGGGCGCACCGACGACCCGUCCUAUGCCGUUUACGGCUUGGGCGGA